AUCUAAAUAGUUUAAUUAAAAAUAUUAAUUUGUGGAGUUAAAGUUAUAGUAUAUAUUUUAGAUA
Molecule: transfer RNA, 64 nt
Filed under: Tenerus flavicollis
Lineage: Eukaryota; Metazoa; Arthropoda; Insecta; Coleoptera; Cleridae
Description: tRNA-His
Source: RNAcentral